CCUUAGGGCUGCAGCUAACCCAUUAACCACUCCGCCUGGGGAGUACGGUCGCAAGACUUACAACAAAAGAAUUGAGGGGGGCCCGCAAAAGCGGUGGAGCAUGUGGUUUAAUUNGAAGCAACGCGAAGAACCUUACCAGGUCUUGACAUCCUCUGACAAUCCUAGAGAUAGGACGUCCCCUUCGGGGGCAGAGUGACAGGUGGUGCAUGGUUGUCGUCAGCUCGUGUCGUGAGAUGUUGGGUUAAGUCCCGCAACGAGCGCAACCCUUGAUCUUAGUUGCCAGCAUUCAGUUGGGCACUCUAAGGUGACUGCCGGUGACAAACCGGAGGAAGGUGGGGAUGACGUCAAAUCAUCAUGCCCCUUAUGACCUGGGCUACACACGUGCUACAAUGGACAGAACAAAGGGCAGCGAAACCGCGAGGUUAAGCCAAUCCCACAAAUCUGUUCUCAGUUCGGAUCGCAGUCUGCAACUCGACUGCGUGAAGCUGGAAUCGCUAGUAAUCGCGGAUCAGCAUGCCGCGGUGAAUACGUUCCCGGGCCUUGUACACACCGCCCGUCACACCACGAGAGUUUGUAACACCCGAAGUCGGUGAGGUAACCUUUUAGGAGCCAGCCGCCGAAGGGGGA
This 627-nucleotide ribosomal RNA is filed under the name Bacillus sp. HPCKc-48. Its description in RNAcentral is "bacterial SSU rRNA". It matches the Rfam family "Bacterial small subunit ribosomal RNA", at positions 838 to 1466 of the family's 1533-position model. The record is from RNAcentral. Lineage: Bacteria; Bacillati; Bacillota; Bacilli; Caryophanales; Bacillaceae.